AGUGAACGCUGGCGGUAGGCCUAACACAUGCAAGUCGAACGGCAGCACAGUAAGAGCUUGCUCUUACGGGUGGCGAGUGGCGGACGGGUGAGGAAUACAUCGGAAUCUACUUUUUCGUGGGGGAUAACGUAGGGAAACUUACGCUAAUACCGCAUACGACCUACGGGUGAAAGCAGGGGAUCUUCGGACCUUGCGCGAGUGAAUGAGCCGAUGUCGGAUUAGCUAGUUGGCGGGGUAAAGGCCCACCAAGGCGACGAUCCGUAGCUGGUCUGAGAGGAUGAUCAGCCACACUGGAACUGAGACACGGCCCAGACUCCUACGGGAGGCAGCAGUGGGGAAUAUUGGACAAUGGGCGCAAGCCUGAUCCAGCCAUACCGCGUGGGUGAAGAAGGCCUUCGGGUUGUAAAGCCCUUUUGUUGGGAAAGAAAAGCAGCAGGUUAAUACCCCGCUGUUCUGACGGUACCCAAAGAAUAAGCACCGGCUAACUUCGUG
This 492-nucleotide ribosomal RNA is filed under the name uncultured bacterium. RNAcentral's name for it is "partial 16S ribosomal RNA". It matches the Rfam family "Bacterial small subunit ribosomal RNA", at positions 29 to 507 of the family's 1533-position model. The record is from RNAcentral.